GGCUUGAACUAAUGGAAUCCUUCCCUAAUGUCUUUGGUUGGGGCGACCGCGGGGAAACAAAAAACCCCCACGUGGAAAGGGAGCACCCCCUCCUACAACUAAGAGCCGCAGCUCUAAUUAACAGAAUAUCUGACCAAUAAGAUCCGGCAAUGCC
Molecule: ribosomal RNA, 154 nt
Filed under: Sebastes environmental sample
Lineage: Eukaryota; Metazoa; Chordata; Actinopteri; Perciformes; Sebastidae
Description: partial 16S ribosomal RNA
Source: RNAcentral